This 460-nucleotide ribosomal RNA is filed under the name uncultured bacterium. RNAcentral's name for it is "partial 16S ribosomal RNA". It matches the Rfam family "Bacterial small subunit ribosomal RNA", at positions 338 to 795 of the family's 1533-position model. The record is from RNAcentral.
CCUACGGGUGGCUGCAGUGAGGAAUAUUGGUCAAUGGCCGGAAGGCUGAACCAGCCAUGCCGCGUGAAGGUCAGUGCCCUAUGGGCGUUUAACUUCUUUUGUUCGGGAGCCAUAAUGGUCACCUUUGGCCCGACGAGAGUUCCGUACGAAUAAGCCUCCGCUAACUCCGUUCCAGCCACCGCGGUUAUUCCGGGGAUGCAAGCGUUAUCCCGGUUUUUUUGGGUUUAAGGGUUCGUAGGCCGGGAGGUUAGUUCAGGGGUGAAUGUCCCGGGCAAAAGGGGUGAAGUGCCAUUGAUACUGCCUGGCUGGAAUGCGGAUGCGGUGGGCGGAAUGUGUGGUGUAGCGGUGAAAUGCAUAGAGAUCACACAGAACAACGAUUGCGAAGGCAGCUUACGAAUCCGCGAUUGACGCUGAGGCACGAAAGCGUGGGUAUCAAACAGGAUUAGAUACCCGUGUAGUC